CUGCUGAGAUGAGUCCCCAGCCCCAGCCCUGCUGGCCAACAAAGAGUCAACGAGGACAAGGGCUCUCACUGAGCCUGAAGCUCACUGAUUAACUCAGGGAUCUGUUUGCCUCCCUCCUCCACUAAAGUCACUGCUGCUCCUGGCUCUUACGUGGUGCCAGAGAUCCAAACUCAGGCCUUCAUGGUUACACAGCAAACCUGUUACCAACGGAGCC
This is a long non-coding RNA of Grammomys surdaster, 214 nucleotides long. RefSeq lists it as uncharacterized. Lineage: Eukaryota; Metazoa; Chordata; Mammalia; Rodentia; Muridae. The record is from RefSeq and is a predicted model, not a curated record. The transcript has 3 exons.